RNAcentral lists this ribosomal RNA (445 nucleotides) under uncultured bacterium. RNAcentral's name for it is "partial 16S ribosomal RNA". It matches the Rfam family "Bacterial small subunit ribosomal RNA", at positions 354 to 796 of the family's 1533-position model. The record is from RNAcentral.
GUGAGGAAUAUUGGACAAUGGGCGCAAGCCUGAUCCAGCCAUGCCGCGUGCAGGAAGACGCAUCUAUGGUGUGUAAACUGCUUUUGUACGGGAAGAAACACUCCCUCGUGAGGGAGCUUGACGGUACCGUAAGAAUAAGGAUCGGCUAACUCCGUGCCAGCAGCCGCGGUAAUACGGAGGAUCCAAGCGUUAUCCGGAAUCAUUGGGCUUAAAGGGUACGUAGGCGGUUUAAUAAGUCGGUGGUGAAAGCCCAUCGCUCAACGAUGGAACGGCCAUUGAUACUGUUAGACUUGAAUUACAAGGAAGUAACUAGAAUAUGUAGUGUAGCGGUGAAAUGCUUAGAUAUUACAUGGAAUACCAAUUGAGAAGGCAGGUUACUACUUGUGGAUUGACGCUGAUGGACGAAAGCGUGGGGAGCGAACAGGAUUAGAUACCCGGGUAGUCC